GGCUGAGUAACACGUGAAUAAUCCACCCCAUCGGUUACCGGGUAUAUGCCCGGGGAAACCCUGGAUUAAUCACCUGGAUGGCCCAUACCCGCACUUAUGGAGUCGGCUGGGAAAGGUAGCUUCGGCCUCCGACCGAGGACGAGCUCUGCGCGGAUUAGCUUGUUGGUGGGGUAACUGGCCACACCAAGGCGACGAUCCGUAGCUGGUCUGAGAGGACGGAUCAGCCACACUGGGUACUGAGUACACGGCCCAGACUCCAUACGGGAGGCAGCAGUAGGGGAAUCUUGCGCAAUGGGCGGAAAGCCUGACGCAGCGACGCCGCGUGCGGGGAAGAAGGCCUUCGGGUUGUAAACCGCUUUCAGGAGGGACCGAAGCCCAACUCGGGGUUAAUAGCCCAGAGGGUGACGGUACCUUCAGAAGAAGCCCCGGCUAACUACGUGCCAGCCGCCGCGG
This 453-nucleotide ribosomal RNA is filed under the name uncultured bacterium. Its description in RNAcentral is "bacterial SSU rRNA". It matches the Rfam family "Bacterial small subunit ribosomal RNA", at positions 104 to 520 of the family's 1533-position model. The record is from RNAcentral.